Molecule: ribosomal RNA, 551 nt
Filed under: uncultured bacterium
Lineage: Bacteria
Description: bacterial SSU rRNA
Rfam family: Bacterial small subunit ribosomal RNA
Source: RNAcentral
UGAGGAAUUUUGCGCAAUGGGCGAAAGCCUGACGCAGCGACGCCGCGUGGGUGAUGAAGGUCUUCGGAUCGUAAAACCCUGUCGAGCGGGACGAAAUGUAUAAAAGAUAAUACCUUUUAUGCUUGACUGUACCGCUGGAGGAAGCUCCGGCUAACUACGUGCCAGCAGCCGCGGUAAUACGUAGGGAGCAAGCGUUGUUCGGAAUUAUUGGGCGUAAAGGGCGUGUAGGCGGUUAUGUAAGUCGAGUGUGAAAUCCCAUAGCUUAACUGUGGAACUGCGUUUGAUACUGCAUAACUUGAGUUCGGGAGAGGGAAGUGGAAUUCCUGGUGUAGCGGUGAAAUGCGUAGAGAUCAGGAGGAACACCGGUGGCGAAGGCGGCUUCCUGGACCGAUACUGACGCUGAGGCGCGAAAGCUAGGGGAGCAAACAGGAUUAGAUACCCUGGUAGUCCUAGCUGUAAACGAUGGGCACUUGGUGUUGCGGGUAUCGACCCCCGCAGUGCCGAAGCUAACGCAUUAAGUGCCCCGCCUGGGGAGUACGGUCGCAAGGCUG